Molecule: small nuclear RNA, 98 nt
Filed under: Echinops telfairi (small Madagascar hedgehog)
Lineage: Eukaryota; Metazoa; Chordata; Mammalia; Afrosoricida; Tenrecidae
Source: RNAcentral
UUGGCAGCAAACAAACUAAAAUGAAAAUGAAACGGGGAAGGUUAGCGUGGCCCCUGGGCACGGAUGGCAUGCAAAUUCAUGAAGUGGUUGUUGAUCUU